UACGUAGGGGGCAAGCGUUGUCCGGAAUCAUUGGGCGUAAAGCGCGUGUAGGCGGCUUGGUAAGUCCGCUCUGAAAGCCCGGGGCUCAACCCCGGGAGGCGGGUGGAUACUGUCAAGCUCGAGUCCGGAAGAGGCGAGUGGAAUUCCUGGUGUAGCGGUGAAAUGCGCAGAGUUCGGGAGGAACAUCCGUGGCGAAGGCGGCUCUCUGGGACGGUACUGACGCUGAGACGCGAAAGCGUGGGGAGCGAACAGG
RNAcentral lists this ribosomal RNA (253 nucleotides) under uncultured bacterium. Its description in RNAcentral is "partial 16S ribosomal RNA". It matches the Rfam family "Bacterial small subunit ribosomal RNA", at positions 524 to 776 of the family's 1533-position model. The record is from RNAcentral.